RNAcentral lists this ribosomal RNA (292 nucleotides) under uncultured bacterium. Its description in RNAcentral is "partial 16S ribosomal RNA". It matches the Rfam family "Bacterial small subunit ribosomal RNA", at positions 505 to 796 of the family's 1533-position model. The record is from RNAcentral.
GUGCCAGCAGCCGCGGUAAGACAGAGGGUGCAAACGUUGUUCGGAAUUACUGGGCGUAAAGCGCGUGUAGGCGGCUCGGAAAGUCGGGUGUGAAAGCCCUGGGCUCAACCCAGGAAGUGCAUUCGAAACUCCCGAGCUCGAGUCCUGGAGAGGAUGGUGGAAUUCUCGGUGUAGAGGUGAAAUUCGUAGAUAUCGAGAGGAACACCGGUGGCGAAGGCGACCAUCUGGACAGUGACUGACGCUGAGACGCGAAAGCGUGGGGAGCAAACAGGAUUAGAAACCCCUGUAGUCC